This 372-nucleotide ribosomal RNA is filed under the name uncultured organism. RNAcentral describes it as "bacterial SSU rRNA". It matches the Rfam family "Bacterial small subunit ribosomal RNA", at positions 526 to 896 of the family's 1533-position model. The record is from RNAcentral.
CGUAGGGGGCAAGCGUUGUCCGGAAUCAUUGGGCGUAAAGCGCGUGUAGGCGGUCCGAUAAGUCGGCUGUGAAAGUCCAGGGCUCAACCCUGGGAUGCCGGUCGAUACUGUCGGACUAGAGUUCGGAAGAGGCGAGUGGAAUUCCCGGUGUAGCGGUGAAAUGCGCAGAUAUCGGGAGGAACACCAAUGGCGAAGGCAGCUCGCUGGGACGUUACUGACGCUGAGACGCGAAAGCGUGGGGAGCAAACAGGAUUAGAUACCCUGGUAGUCCACGCCGUAAACGAUGGGCACUAGGUGUGGGAGGUGUCGACUCCUCCCGUGCCGGAGCUAACGCAUUAAGUGCCCCGCCUGGGGAGUACGGCCGCAAGGCUA